GACGAACGCUGGCGGCGUGCUUAACACAUGCAAGUCGAACGGAAAGGCCCUGCUUUUGUGGGGUGCUCGAGUGGCGAACGGGUGAGUAACACGUGAGUAACCUGCCCUUGACUUUGGGAUAACUUCAGGAAACUGGGGCUAAUACCGGAUAGGAGCUCCUGCUGCAUGGUGGGGGUUGGAAAGUUUCGGCGGUUGGGGAUGGACUCGCGGCUUAUCAGCUUGUUGGUGGGGUAGUGGCUUACCAAGGCUUUGACGGGUAGCCGGCCUGGGAGGGUGACCGGGCACAAUGGUACUGAGAGACGGCCCAGACUCCUACGGGGGGCAGCGGGGGGGAAUAUUGCACAAUGGGCGGGAGCCUGAUGCAGCAACGCCGCGUGUGGGAUGAAGGCCUUCGGGUUGUAAACCGCUUUCGCCUGUGACGAAGCGGGAGUGACGGUAAUGGGUAAAGAAGCACCGGCUAACUACGUG
This 468-nucleotide ribosomal RNA is filed under the name uncultured bacterium. RNAcentral describes it as "partial 16S ribosomal RNA". It matches the Rfam family "Bacterial small subunit ribosomal RNA", at positions 28 to 507 of the family's 1533-position model. The record is from RNAcentral.